Neofelis nebulosa (Clouded leopard) is the source of this 308-nucleotide long non-coding RNA. RefSeq lists it as uncharacterized. NCBI's taxonomy places the organism in Eukaryota, Metazoa, Chordata, Mammalia, Carnivora, Felidae. The record is from RefSeq and is a predicted model, not a curated record. The transcript is spliced from 3 exons.
ACCCAGCAUGGAAGCUAUUUACCAAUCCGUUCAGAUAUUUUCAAUACUUGAACACCUAGUGAAACUUGGCUGGUGCUCAUCAGCAGAAUAUCACCUAGUCUCCAGAUAACAGGGGUAUUGCCUCGCUCAGUUUUCAAGGGUUACACUCAGCGGAAAAAGCCUGCAUCGGACGCAUGUGUCCUGAGAGCAUUCUGAGACAGUCAUCCAACCAGUGCUCAGUCAACCCACCACUCCAUGACGCCUGUGCUGAGGGAUGCUGAGGACACUAAGGUGACCAAGACAGACUGUGCCCCACCCUCAUGGAACUG